This 467-nucleotide ribosomal RNA is filed under the name uncultured bacterium. RNAcentral's name for it is "partial 16S ribosomal RNA". It matches the Rfam family "Bacterial small subunit ribosomal RNA", at positions 28 to 506 of the family's 1533-position model. The record is from RNAcentral.
GACGAACGCUGGCGGCGUGCUUAACACAUGCAAGUCGAACGGAAAGGCCCUGCUUUUGUGGGGUGCUCGAGUGGCGAACGGGUGAGUAACACGUGAGUAACCUGCCCUUGACUUUGGGAUAACUUCAGGAAACUGGGGCUAAUACCGGAUAGGAGCUCCUGCUGCAUGGUGGGGGUUGGAAAGUUUCGGCGGUUGGGGAUGGACUCGCGGCUUAUCAGCUUGUUGGUGGGGUAGUGGCUUACCAAGGCUUUGACGGGUAGCCGGCCUGAGAGGGUGACCGGCCAAAUGGGGACUGAGAAACGGCCCAGACCCCUACGGGGGGCAGCGGGGGGGAAUAUUGAAAAAUGGGGGGAAGCCUGAUGCAGCAACGCCGGGGGGGGGAUGGCGGCCUUCGGGUUGUAAACCGUUUUCCCCUGUGACGAAGGGGGAGGGACGGUAAUGGGUAAAGAAGCACCGGCAAACUACGG